UUAAAUUGAAGAGUUUGAUCAUGGCUCAGAUUGAACGCUGGCGGCAGGCCUAACACAUGCAAGUCGAACGGUAACAGAAAGCAGCUUGCUGCUUUGCUGACGAGUGGCGGACGGGUGAGUAAUGUCUGGGAAACUGCCUGAUGGAGGGGGAUAACUACUGGAAACGGUAGCUAAUACCGCAUAAUGUCGCAAGACCAAAGAGGGGGACCUUCGGGCCUCUUGCCAUCGGAUGUGCCCAGAUGGGAUUAGCUAGUAGGUGGGGUAACGGCUCACCUAGGCGACGAUCCCUAGCUGGUCUGAGAGGAUGACCAGCCACACUGGAACUGAGACACGGUCCAGACUCCUACGGGAGGCAGCAGUGGGGAAUAUUGCACAAUGGGCGCAAGCCUGAUGCAGCCAUGCCGCGUGUAUGAAGAAGGCCUUCGGGUUGUAAAGUACUUUCAGCGGGAGGAAGGGAGUAAAGUUAAUACCUUUGCUCAUUGACGUUACCCGCAGAAGAAGCACCGGCUAACUCCGUGCCAGCAGCCGCGGUAAUACGGAGGGUGCAAGCGUUAAUCGGAAUUACUGGGCGUAAAGCGCACGCAGGCGGUUUGUUAAGUCAGAUGUGAAAUCCCCGGGCUCAACCUGGGAACUGCAUCUGAUACUGGCAAGCUUGAGUCUCGUAGAGGGGGGUAGAAUUCCAGGUGUAGCGGUGAAAUGCGUAGAGAUCUGGAGGAAUACCGGUGGCGAAGGCGGCCCCCUGGACGAAGACUGACGCUCAGGUGCGAAAGCGUGGGGAGCAAACAGGAUUAGAUACCCUGGUAGUCCACGCCGUAAACGAUGUCGACUUGGAGGUUGUGCCCUUGAGGCGUGGCUUCCGGAGCUAACGCGUUAAGUCGACCGCCUGGGGAGUACGGCCGCAAGGUUAAAACUCAAAUGAAUUGACGGGGGCCCGCACAAGCGGUGGAGCAUGUGGUUUAAUUCGAUGCAACGCGAAGAACCUUACCUGGUCUUGACAUCCACAGAACUUUCCAGAGAUGGAUUGGUGCCUUCGGGAACUGUGAGACAGGUGCUGCAUGGCUGUCGUCAGCUCGUGUUGUGAAAUGUUGGGUUAAGUCCCGCAACGAGCGCAACCCUUAUCCUUUGUUGCCAGCGGUCCGGCCGGGAACUCAAAGGAGACUGCCAGUGAUAAACUGGAGGAAGGUGGGGAUGACGUCAAGUCAUCAUGGCCCUUACGACCAGGGCUACACACGUGCUACAAUGGCGCAUACAAAGAGAAGCGACCUCGCGAGAGCAAGCGGACCUCAUAAAGUGCGUCGUAGUCCGGAUUGGAGUCUGCAACUCGACUCCAUGAAGUCGGAAUCGCUAGUAAUCGUGGAUCAGAAUGCCACGGUGAAUACGUUCCCGGGCCUUGUACACACCGCCCGUCACACCAUGGGAGUGGGUUGCAAAAGAAGUAGGUAGCUUAACCUUCGGGAGGGCGCUUACCACUUUGUGAUUCAUGACUGGGGUGAAGUCGUAACAAGGUAACCGUAGGGGAACCUGCGGUUGGAUCACCUCCUUACCUUAAAGAAGC
Molecule: ribosomal RNA, 1555 nt
Filed under: Escherichia coli
Lineage: Bacteria; Pseudomonadati; Pseudomonadota; Gammaproteobacteria; Enterobacterales; Enterobacteriaceae
Description: bacterial SSU rRNA
Rfam family: Bacterial small subunit ribosomal RNA
Source: RNAcentral